UCAAGCUGUUAAGGGCAUAGAGUGAAUGCCUUGGUGCCAACAGGCGAUGAAGGACGUGAUAAGCUGCGAUAAGCUUCGGAGAGCCGCACACAGGCUUUGACCCGGAGAUUUCCGAAUGGGGUAACCUGAUUCCAGUAAUAUGGGAUCGUUCCAUCCUGAAUAAAAUAGGGAUGGAUACGCGAUACCUGGUGAAGUGAAACAUCUCAGUAACCAGAGGAAAAGAAAACGAAUGUGAUUCCGUAAGUAGCGGCGAGCGAAAGCGGAAUAGCCCAAACCGGGGCCUUUGGUCCCGGGGUUGUAGGACCCUUGAUGGGACCUCGGAAGGUAGUCUAAAACGUUGGAAAGCGUUUCCAUAGCGGGUGACAGGCCCGUGGACGAAACCGGAAGAGGCCCUGUGGAGUUCCUGAGUAGCGCAGCACACGUGAAACGUUGCGUGAAUCUGCCCCGACCACGGGGUAAGGCUAAAUACUAGUUGGCGACCGAUAGUGAACCAGUACCGUGAGGGAAAGGUGAAAAGUACCGCUGCGAGCGGAGUGAAAUAGAACCUGAAACCCUAUGCCUACAAGGUGUCAGAGCCCCUUCGGGGGUGAUGGCGUGCCUUUUGCUUAAUGAGUCUGCGAGUUACUCUCUGUGGCAAGCUUAAGGUCUUUUGGACUGGAGGCGUAGCGAAAGCGAGUCCGAAUAGGGCGAUUAGUUGCAGGGGGUAGACCCGAAGCGGAGGUGACCUACCCAUGGCCAGGUUGAAGCGUGAGUAAAAUCACGUGGAGGACCGAACCGUUGUGUGUUGAAAAAUGCUCGGAUGAGCUGUGGGUAGGAGUGAAAGGCUAAUCAAACCCCGUGAUAGCUGGUUCUCUCCGAAAUGCAUUUAGGUGCAGCGUCACGUGCUGAAGGACGGGGGUAGAGCACUGAAAGGGCUAGGGGGCAUACCCGCCUACCAACCCCUAUCAAACUCCGAAUACCGUCCGGUGGAGCGUGGCAGUGAGACAGUGGGGGAUAAGCUUCAUUGUCGAAAGGGAAACAGCCCAGAUCAGCAGCUAAGGUGCCUAAAGUACGCUAAGUGGAAAGGAGGUGGAGUCUCAUAGACAGUGAGGAUGUUGGCUUAGAAGCAGCCACCAUUUAAAAAAAGCGUAACAGCUUACUCAUCGAGAGACUCUGCGCCGAAAAUAAUUGGCGAUAAGCGUGCUACCGAAGCUCUGGAUGUCAUCCUUAUGGAUGGCGUGGUAGGAGAGCGUUCCCAGUGCAGCGAAGGGUGAUGGUGACUGACCCUGGAGCGCUGGGAAGUGAGUAUGCAGACAUGAGUAACGAUAAGACCGGUGAAAUCCCGGUCCGCCGUAAACCCAAGGUUUCCCGGGCAACGUUUUUCGUCCCGGGGUUAGUCGGGACCUAAGCCGAGGCCGAUAGGCGUAGGCGAUGGAAAGCUAGUCAAUAUUCUGGCACCUCCGACCCUUAAACUGGGGGGACGCGGUUUGAAAAGUAGCUAGGUUAUUGAAUUCCGAGAUGCGGCCACGGCCAAUUCGUACUACCAGACAAACCGCCAAGAAAAGCCCCAGCAAAUGCUAAGGAGCCCGUACCGUAAACCGACACAGGUGGGUGGGUAGAGUAUACCAAGGCGCAAGAGUGAAACCUGGUUAAGGAACUCGGCAAAAUGGCUCCGUAACUUCGGGAUAAGGAGUGCCCCUUUUUUGGGGGCCGCAGUGAAUUGGCCCAUCCGACUGUUUAGCAAAAACACAGCAUUGUGCUAAGGCGUAAGCCGACGUAUACGAUGUGACACGUGACCAAUGCCAAAAGAUUACGGUAAGGUGUUAGCCCUCGUGGCGAAGCUCCGAGCCCAAGUCCUGGUGAAUGUCGGCCGUAACUAUAACGGUCCUAAGGUAGCGAAAUUCCUUGUCGGGUAAGUUCCGACCUGCACGAAUCGUGCAACGAGUUGGGCGCUGUCUCGACCAGGUGCUCAGUGAAAUUGUAGUUCCGGUGAAGAUGCCGGACACCCGCAGAAGGACGGAAAGACCCUAUAGACCUUAACUGUAAGCUGU
This 2030-nucleotide ribosomal RNA is filed under the name marine metagenome. RNAcentral's name for it is "bacterial LSU rRNA". It matches the Rfam family "Bacterial large subunit ribosomal RNA", at positions 3 to 2114 of the family's 2925-position model. The record is from RNAcentral.